UUUUCUGGGUAUCUUAUUUGUUAAUGCUUAAUUUUUCUUUCUUUUUUUCCCCCCCAACAAAGUGUACCUACCUUCCAGCAAAAAUCUCAAGCCCUCGUCAGAAACAAAGACUCAAAAAAGCUUAUUUUCAGAUGAGGAGGACUCUGAGGAUAAUCUUUUUGGGGGUACAGCUGCUAAGAAGCAGACAUUGUCUCUACAAGCUCAGAGACAAGAGAAAGCAAAACCCUCCGAGCUCUCCAAAAAGAAAGCAUCUGCCCUGUUGUUCAGCAGCGAUGAGGAGGUGAGCCGAGGUUUCUCCUAAGAAGAGGGGAGUAUUUGAUGGGAUUUAAGAGUUAAAGCCAUCCCAAGUAUCUUCUUUUUCUACCUGUUUUAUAUCUAGUGACAUUCAGUCACCAAAGGCGAUGUUCACAAGAUUGUCUUUUCUGAAGGAAGACAUUUAAUGUAAUAUAUAAUUUAAAGAUGAAUCUCUUCAGAAUGGUUCGGAAUAAGUAUGACUCCCGCACGAUAGUACAUGCUCCUUCUAAUGAGUUAGGCUGGCUAUGGGAGAAAUGAUUUCUCACCCAUCGCUAGGUUCAUGGUCAAGUCCCCUAUAACAAAUGACAGAUUAACCAGAGAAAAGUGUGCAAGUUUAUUGAAGAUAAGUUUUACCUGACACAGGAGCCUUCAGAAAAGAAGACUCAGAGCAACAGGAAAUCCUGUGUCAAUUGUAUGCUGUCUGUUGAAGAAGCGGACAGUUUUGGAGAAGCACCAUGAGAUGAAAGGGGUGUGACCUGAUGGGAAUAAGCUGGGGGAGCUCAGCAAGGCCUGUGUGGUCAGAUGAUUCUCUGCAUCUUUACAAAUAAGGAGGCUCCUUUCCUCUGGGAAUAGGGAGGACUGGAAUGAAGGUCUUAUGACCUACUCCCGAGAGGGUUGGAGGAUUCUUCUAUGGCCUGCUGCAGAGGAGAAGGCCCAGGGAAAGGUCAGAGAGAUCUUUCUGCUUCUCAGAUGCCAAGGUGUCAUAUUUUGAGGUAGCAUGUCCCGUAUACCCCAAUGGCCGUAUAUAGUAGUAUCUUCUUAAAUGACUACUGUGUUUCAUUAAUUUAGAACUAUAGCUAAACAUGGUAGGAGUUACCUAUUGAGGUUAAAUUCCUUUUUGAAGGAGUCUUACCAAUAUUUUUGUUUGUGAUCUGGAUAGCUAUUAUCAAAGUCAGUAGUGAAUAUAAGUUAGUUUAUUUGCUAACUCAAUCAGAUUUAGUAGCAGGAAAUCAGAUUUGGCUGUGCAGAAAUAUGAUGAUAUUGGCCGGGUGCAGUGGCUCACGCUUGUAAUCCCAGUACUUUGGGAGAUCGAGGCAGGUGGAUCACAAGGUCAGGAGAUCGAGACCAUCCUGGCUAACACGGUGAAACCCCGUCUCUACUAAAAAAUACACGUAGUUAGCCAUGCAUGGUGGCAGGCAUCUGUAGUCCCAGCUACUCGGGAGGUUGAGGCAGGAGAAUGGCGUGAACCCAGGAGGCAGAGCUUGCAGUG
This 1504-nucleotide long non-coding RNA is filed under the name Macaca nemestrina (pig-tailed macaque). RNAcentral describes it as "lncRNA (ENSMNEG00000045760.1)". The record is from RNAcentral. Lineage: Eukaryota; Metazoa; Chordata; Mammalia; Primates; Cercopithecidae.